RNAcentral lists this ribosomal RNA (328 nucleotides) under uncultured fungus. Its description in RNAcentral is "SSU rRNA". It matches the Rfam family "Eukaryotic small subunit ribosomal RNA", at positions 39 to 370 of the family's 1831-position model. Lineage: Eukaryota; Fungi. The record is from RNAcentral.
AAAGAUUAAGCCGUGCAUGUCUAAGUAUAAGCACUUUAUACUGUGAAACUGCGAAUGGCUCAUUAAAUCAGUUAUCGUUUAUUUGAUAGUACCUUACUACAUGGAUACCUGUGGUAAUUCUAGAGCUAAUACAUGCUAAAAACCUCGACUUCGGAAGGGGUGUAUUUAUUAGAUAAAAAACCAACGCCCUUCGGGGCUCCUUGGUGAAUCAUAAUAACUAAGCGAAUCGCAUGGCCUUGCGCCGGCGAUGGUUCAUUCAAAUUUCUGCCCUAUCAACUUUCGAUGGUAGGAUAGUGGCCUACCAUGGUGGCAACGGGUAACGGGGAAU